CGAGCAACAACAAUGACGGAUCAACGAGAAUUUCAUAACCGAUGCUAGUUCUUUUCCUUUCUCCUCCGGAUAUCCCUUUCACCAAUCCUCCCCCGAUUCUCGUGUGACGACAUCUGCGGUUAUCACAACGGUUAGAGUGAAAGGCUCAUGUCACUAGGAAGUCUCAGAAAUGCUGAAAAAACUAAGGUUUCUUCGACCGUUAGUUGAGGCAGCAGUAUAUCGUCCUGCGUCACAAAUCCAAUCCUGCAAGGAAAACAGAACACUCGAAAUCGAUGAAUGACGGAAAAAAGAAAAAAGCGCCGAUAAAAACCGGCCUAACCUUCGUUUAAGAGCCGGACUAAGGACCCAUCAAAGCAAGGAUUUCUCCUGGGCCGGUGCUGCCCGUUACGCCUUUAAGGAUCUCCUUGUAUUUAUCAUGUUCCAAGUUAAGUUGCGAGGCUAACUUCGACAUCACCGCUCUCACGGGGAUGAUCGAGGCAGAUAUAUCUCCUUAUAACUUGACCGAUCACAUAGCCCUGUUCUGGCGAC
This is a long non-coding RNA of Hibiscus syriacus, 528 nucleotides long. RefSeq lists it as uncharacterized. The transcript has 4 exons. The record is from RefSeq and is a predicted model, not a curated record. Lineage: Eukaryota; Viridiplantae; Streptophyta; Magnoliopsida; Malvales; Malvaceae.